UGUUAGGGAUGUUACCACCACCGCCACCCGAUGCAUCGGAUUGGGUAUGAUGGCACGUAUAGCUGUUGGGAGCUGACACUUUUUGGAGAUAGCCGACGCUCGUUGAUGGAGGGUGGUACAUGUUCGAUGUAGAAUCGAGUCCUUUUUGGGGGUGGUAGCCAAGUAUAGUUAAAAUCUUGGCCUUUUUGUUGUAUCGACCUUGAUGUCCAUCAUGAAAAUAUAAAUAAGAGUGAAU
This 235-nucleotide long non-coding RNA is filed under the name Eucalyptus grandis. RNAcentral's name for it is "long non-coding RNA (EGRA_LNC005751)". The record is from RNAcentral. Lineage: Eukaryota; Viridiplantae; Streptophyta; Magnoliopsida; Myrtales; Myrtaceae.